This 2157-nucleotide long non-coding RNA is filed under the name Salmo salar (Atlantic salmon). RNAcentral's name for it is "lncRNA (ENSSSAG00000101998.1)". The record is from RNAcentral. Lineage: Eukaryota; Metazoa; Chordata; Actinopteri; Salmoniformes; Salmonidae.
UCGGAUGAACCAUCAAACAGGCAAAAUGUCAAUACAGGACUAAGAUCGAAUUCUACUACACCGGCUCUGACGCUCGUCGGAUGUGGCAGGGCUUGCAAACUAUCACGGAUUACAAAGGGAAACUCAGCCAUGAGCUGCCUAGUGACGCGAGCCUACCAGACGAGAAAAUUUGCCUUCUAUAGUCGCUUCGAAGCUAGAAACACUGAACCCUCCAUGAGAGUACCAGCUGUUCUGUACGACUGUGUGAGGGUGCUCUCCGUACCCGAUGUGAGUAAGACCUUUAAACAAGUUAACAUUCACAAGGCCGCAGGGCCAGAUGGAUUACAAGGACGCAUACUCAAGAGCAUGCACUGAACAACUGGCAAGUGUCUUCACUGACAUUUUCAACCUAUCCAUGAUCCAGUCUGUAAUAUCUACAUGUUUCAAGCAUGUUCCUGUGCCCAAGAAUGCCAAGAAGCUGUUUUUCAGUCUCUCGGUCCCAGCUUUGAUGCACCUGUACUGACCUUGCCUUCUGGAUGAUAGCGGGGUGAACAGACAGUGGCUCGGGUGAUUGUUGUCCUUGAUGAUCUUUUCGGCCUUCCCGUGACAUCGGGUGAGGUACAGUAUCUGUAUGACGGUCCAGUGACUUUGUGAAAUGUGACUUAGCCUAGUUAAUCAAUUAGACUGUGUUACAAAUGCUGUUAUUAUUUCUAAGCCUAAAGUAUCCAAACUAUUAAAAAAUACAAAAGUGAUUGUUCACUUUAAACACAAAGGCCUGUGACAAAUUCCAGGUUUGUGAGAACUAUUCAUAUAACUGAAUAUGAGGCAGAUUGCAGUGUAUUCGUAUGACAUCUUGACACCCUUAGGGGAAAUAAACAACACCUCAGGCAAUUAAGACCCUCGUAGUCCCAGGGCUUAGAGAACAGUGUAUAGUCACAGAGUUUACAGAUCAGUGUAUCUAUUUAGUGCAGGAGAACAAGACAGCAACACAGACCAAGCACUGAGUUGAGGUAUAACAAUUAGUGAGUUAUCUUCAGAUAAACCACAACAGCAACUGGAUGCGGGGACACCAGGAGAACAGGAUGGAGAGGAGUUUCUUAACAAAGCAGUGGACGUUUCUCAACCCAUCUCUCUCCUAAUUAAUUCUGUCAAACUCAGUGACGAAGGCUUGGAGGACUGCAUCCCUGCAGAGAGGACUACUCAAGCAAAGACGAGGUCUGUUAUCCAGCAGGUGCGCAAGCAGGUCAAAUCCCAGCUGAGCAUGAACGUCCCAAGGAAUGUCAUUCGGGAACUAGUUCAGAAGGUCUAAAGCAGAGAGCUGGAGAUGGCAUUGGUGAACGGCCCCAAUGACACUGAGAAGGCAGGUGCAGAGAUUUUGGAAGACGAGUGUACAGGUGAGAUGGAUGUCAAAAGGGAGGAGCUUAUAGCGUUUUUUCAACAGGAGCUGAAGGCCAGUAAAGAGGUACUGAGGUGUGAGUUUAAAGAGCAAAUAACCCAACUGAGGAUAGAAAUGCAAGUCUACACAGGCCAGACUCUGAAGGGCCUGGAGUCCAAGGUGCAGAACAGGCAAACAUACUCCCAUAGUGUACUCCAGCGGCUGUAUCAAGCAGUACAGUCAGAGACCAGAAGUCUUGAGAAGAAGAAGUUUCCAGCAGCACCCUUACUGGGCCCUGGUAAGACCAGAGUUCUGAGCAGAACCACGACAAAUCUCACCCCCAAGACAUGUCCUCCGAUUGUCCUCUUGCCUUGCUCUAAAUCAGAGACCUUGAUCUCCUCCAUGGAUAACAGUACCCUGCUUCUCCUCAAGGAUCCAGACUUCUUUGUUCUCCUAUCUCUGAACACCAAGUACCAUCAGUCCUGUGGACCUCUGCCCCUACCUGCCCCCCACGUCACAAUCGCAAAAAAGCCUCGCCGCACCAAUGUAACCUUCUCAUAAGCUGCCUUAUCUGAUGUUAGUGCAGCCAGCCACACAGACCUGUUGAGUUGGUGGGCUCAACAUCAGGUGGGAUGCAGUUGUUUACAUUAUAUUUUCACUAUAAGUGAAAUAGUACUUUCACUUAUGUUGCAUAUAAAUGUUGCAUAUUAUGUUGCAUAUAAACGUCUACAGAAAAUACAGUAAUGCCAAUGGUGGAGGUGUUGCUGUUUAUAUUCAGAACCACAGUCCUGUGAAGCUUAUAG